UGUGUGCCUGCGUGGCCCCUGUGCGGCAGUGGAGGUGGUCAGCUUUCGGACACUACUCCGGUGACACACUAGUGAUGAAACAAAUCAGGGACUAUCUUAAGAGUUUCGUAAAAACAAGACAAAAACCGCUUUUAACUAAACUCCAAGCCACCGAGUGCGCCUUCGAGCCCUGGGUGGCCGCUCAGGAACUUAAAACCGCGUAUCGCU
This is a non-coding RNA of Mus musculus (house mouse), 207 nucleotides long. Lineage: Eukaryota; Metazoa; Chordata; Mammalia; Rodentia; Muridae. The record is from Rfam.